RNAcentral lists this ribosomal RNA (253 nucleotides) under uncultured bacterium. Its description in RNAcentral is "partial 16S ribosomal RNA". It matches the Rfam family "Bacterial small subunit ribosomal RNA", at positions 524 to 776 of the family's 1533-position model. The record is from RNAcentral.
UACAGAGGGUGCAAGCGUUGUUCGGAAUUAUUGGGCGUAAAGGGUGCGUAGGCGGUGCGGUAAGUCUGUAGUGAAAUCUCUGGGCUCAACUCAGAGUCUGCUAUAGAAACUGCCGUGCUAGAGUGUGGGAGAGGUGAGUGGAAUUCCCGGUGUAGCGGUGAAAUGCGUAGAGAUCGGGAGGAACACCGGUGGCGAAGGCGGGUCUCUGGGCAAUUCCUGACGCUGAGGCGCGAAAGCGUGGGGAGCAAACGGG